This 1395-nucleotide ribosomal RNA is filed under the name Triticum aestivum (bread wheat). RNAcentral's name for it is "partial small subunit ribosomal RNA". The record is from RNAcentral. Lineage: Eukaryota; Viridiplantae; Streptophyta; Magnoliopsida; Poales; Poaceae.
AUGGGGAGAACAUGUGUUUAUGUUCAUCAUGUGGAUAAAGAGGCCUUUUUGAAAGGCAAUGUUGAGACGGACCCGGAUGAGCUUGACAUGGUGUUUGAGAGUAGUCUUAGCUAUGCGGAGCUUUUGAAACAAGUGAGGAAAGAUUUGAAUUGGAUGGACCCAAGUGACGUUGUUGAGUUCGAGGGAAGGCAUAAUGUUGGUUUAGGAAUGCACAUCCGCUGGAAGACAAUGCGUGUGAACUCCGAGCAACGUUGGGUUGCAUACAAGAAGACGGUUGCGGAAUCUCUAGACAAGGCUCUUGAGUUAUUCGCCUCCAAGAAGGUUGAGUCUACUUUGAAUUUAGACUUGAACCGGAACCCCUCCCCGUUGGUUGCUAGCACUCCCCCACCCAUGAACCAAGAUCAAAUGAGUGAACCUCAAUUCACGCAAGAAGAUUGGCCAACAUUGAGCCCAACUCCAAACAACCAAAAUGAAGGUUUUGAAGAGGAGAAUGAUGAGUACGAGGAGGAUGACAACGAAGUUGACCUCCAUGACAACAAUGUGGGUGAUCUCGACCAAUAUCAUGUGCAAGAGACAAUGCACCAAUCCAUCCCUUUUUCCCAUGCAUAUGCAUCGGACUCGGAUGACGAUGGUCCUGAUGAAGAAGUUGAUGAGGAGGGGUUCACACCGAAGGAGGCCGAAGCAUUCAAGAAGGUAUUCGGGCGGGAUCACAAGACACCAUUGUUCAAGGAUCUUAGUCUCGCGGAUGAAGCCGUUCUGGAUGGUGGAAAAUGCAUAUCUCUUGGAGCUAGGCCAAGUUCUCACCGUGAUUUGGAAGACGGCAAGAACGGGAUAUAUCCCGGUUGUGAGUUUCAAUCCUUCUUGGAAUUGAAGAUGUGGCUCGACAACUACUCGGUUACACAUUAUCGUCCACAUAAAGUGGCCAACUCGGACGUGAAUGUGCGUUACACGGUCAAAUGUGAAGUGCCAACAUGUCCAUGGAUUGUGCGUGCAAGGCCAUGGAAAGGAGGUCCCACUUGGCGCAUAGUGAGUUGUCUACCAACUCACAUGUGCCGGCACAAGAAUGCGGAUGGCAAGCUUGUGUACCAACAACACAAACAACUCACGUCCGAGUUCAUUGCUUACAGGCUGUCCAACCAAAUAUCCACACUUCCAACAAUGAGCAUUAAGAGUGUCAUUGACCUUGUGAAAGCCAUCUUUCAUUACAAGGUGAAGUAUGGCAAGGCAUGGAAGGCGAAGCAAGCCGCAUUCAAGAUGUUGUAUGGCAAUUGGGAGGAAGCAUACAACCGACUCCCUAGGUUGUUGUUAGCUAUGGCCGCCACAAACCCAGGCAUGGUUCACGUGGUUGAGCCUCAUGGGCACCAAACAUUGAUUCAUAACGGGAGGACCGUCUGA